Long non-coding RNA from Gymnogyps californianus (California condor), 604 nucleotides. RefSeq lists it as uncharacterized. The record is from RefSeq and is a predicted model, not a curated record. The transcript is spliced from 4 exons. NCBI's taxonomy places the organism in Eukaryota, Metazoa, Chordata, Aves, Accipitriformes, Cathartidae.
AGCUCUUUUUUUUUCCAGGAUGCAUGUUUUCUUUAUUCUAGGUGCAUUGCAUCUUCCUGGAAUUCCUGGCUUUAUUGAAGAUGGAAUCUUGUUUUCUUCACUAGCUUUGCUGUAUGCUGCGUGGCACAAGCGAUGAUGGCCGCAGCGUCCGAGACUGGAAUUCCUGCGGAGCAGGUGACGAAGAGGAGCCUGGCAACUGCAGGAAUAUCCUGGUUUGCUGAUGUGUUUUUUUGCUGAGGAUGGAUUCAGACCCCUGCCGUCUGACAGCUAAGUUGAGGGGCUGCAGACCACUGCCCUACAGUGUGUAAUUUUGACUUCAGUUGGAAAGAAAUUUUCAAAAACAGAAAUCUUUCUCAUUCAAAGAAAUUGCAUUUUAUUGAACUUCCCAUCAGAGUGGCUCUUCAGAGGUGAUGUACUUGGCAGUAGAAGUCAUCAGCAACAAGAAUCUUUUUGUUUUUUCCUUAUUUUUUUUUUUAAAGUCAGUUUCCCUCCAAAGACCCAAGUACAGCACAUCUUCCUAGAGUUCAUGGUGUCACUGCUCUUUUGGUUCUCAGCUGUAACAGUCGAGACAUCAUAAAAAGAUGUUACUCCAGAGUGGUUUAUC